This 2989-nucleotide long non-coding RNA is filed under the name Arachis ipaensis. RNAcentral describes it as "long non-coding RNA (AIPA_LNC001174)". Lineage: Eukaryota; Viridiplantae; Streptophyta; Magnoliopsida; Fabales; Fabaceae. The record is from RNAcentral.
AUCAAUUAAAUAUAAUUUACAGUUCAAUAAAAUCCUGUUUAAAUUACAAUUAUUUACAAAUGUUGAGUAAUAAUAACAUGAAAAGGUAUCUACUAACUAGUGAAGUUGAACAGAGAAGGCAUGGUAGUAGUAUCACUGUAAAUGUUUUAGCACAUCCAGUGGCCACAAAAUCUAACUGGAAUAUGAUGAGUAAUUAUAUAAUUUAAUAGCAUGAGAAGAAGAUGGCCACAAAAAACAUAAUUUCAACUUCAAAUAGUAGAACUCCCCAAAAGAGUUGUUACUAACAAAUUUGGUACCAAUUUUAUGUACCGAUUCAUCGCCAAAUCCCAAUUUUUCCUCAGUCCCAAUUCAAUCCCUUUCCAACUCACAUACCCACAAACCAAAGGUUCCAAAAGUUUCAUCUUUUUCAUCCAAUCCUUCAAUGCCCUAAGCUCUAAGCGCUAACCUCAUUUUUCCCUCUUCUUUUGUUGCAGAAAUUCAGUGGUUUUCAUCUGUUCCCUGCAACCAGCAACCAGCAACCAGCAAUUACAAAUUGCAAAACAACAACAAACAUUAGUACAUUAUAAAACAUUCCAAAACAGAGCCAUCAGUAAAUUUGAACAAAAAUUUCAAAGUCAUCAGCAACUAGCAAUUACAAAACAGAGCCAUCAGUAAAUUUUUAAAAAAAAAAUUCACAGCCAUCAGCAAUCAGCAAUUACAACACACUAAAACAGAGCCAUCAGUAAAUUUGAACUAAAAUUUCACAACAACCAUCAAUUACAACACACUAAAAUAGAGCCAUCAGUAAAUUUGAACAAAAAUUUCAGUCAUCAGCAACCAGCAAACACAAACCAUUACAAGAAAAUUAGAACAAAAAUUUCAGAACUUAAAAUGAAGAAGGCCGAGCAUUCAGAAAUUAAAAGGAAGAAGCGGAGGCGAAGAAGUGAAAGCAGGGCCACUAACCUUCAACGGAGACACGGACGGUAACCGGCGAGACGAUGGCAAGUGGCGACCCGACGGCGAGCUGCUCCAAGCCACGAACAGAGAAGCCAGGGAAGAUGGGGACGACGUGCCGAGUUACCUGGGUUCCGGACAGGGGGAAGAGGAAGAAGCGGCGGCACUAAGAACCUGGGAACGGCGGCGGCAAGGAAGAAGCUAGGAUUUUGCUUUGCUUCAGAGAGGGCCAGGGGGUGCACCAAUGAUUGGGGGAAGACGGGGGAGAGGUCACGAAUCUNNNNNNNNNNNNNNNNNNNNNNNNNNNNNNNNNNNNNNNNNNNNNNNNNNNNNNNNNNNNNNNNNNNNNNNNNNNNNNNNNNUACAGAUAGUAUUUAUUUUGAAGUAUUGUUGGGGACGACAUUGUUUAUCUUUGAAGAUUUUGACAUUUGUGCUCAGUUUUGAUAAUUCUACUAAUGCGGUAUUAUAUUCAAGAUUCUGAAAAUCGGAUCGAUUAUCGAACUAUUCUAGUGACUGGUUUAUUGGUUUAUUGGUCCAACUAGUUUAACUGUGGUUCAACUAGAAUAACCGUUUUAUAAUAAAAUAAUAAAUAAAAUAUAAAUAAACACACUAAGAUUAACAAAAAUGAACUAUAUUUAACUAAGAUUAACAAAAUCAGCACAAUAAUUAACAUGCUUUAACAAAAAUUAACAGUUUUCAAAUCAAUUUUAACAAGUUCAGCACAAUGAUUAACAGGAAAAAAAAGGCACUAUAAGCACUGCCAUCUCUCCAAUUGCUUAAUAACCUCCUUUCCUUUCCAACAGCUUCAAAGUAAUCUCUAGCUCAUCCUACAAUAAGUUAUAUCAAUUAGAAAUGAUCAAAUCACAUUCAUUUUGUAUGCAAAAACAGUUUUAACAUGGAAAGCUUCAUUGCAAGAAUUCAAGUCGGUGUGCAGGUCCUCGAACAGCAAAUCAAUACAAGCAUUCAAGAAAAAGAAAGACAACACAUCAACAACACAACAAAGAAUCGAAGAAACAUUUAAAACACAGUAACAACACAACACCUAUAGAAACAUUUAAAACAAAGCAACAAAGAAAGAAAUAUCUAAGAAUUACCAUUGCUGAGAACAGUAACUUGAACGUGUAUGCUCAAAGAAUCAAAGGCUAAGCUUCCCUGGGAAAGUGAAGAACACCCAAACGAAGGAAACUUCAAUCACAGCUUAAACCAAAAUUCACAAUCCCUUUCAAUUGAAGCCACAAGCAACUUGAGAACUAAAGCAAGGUUAACAAGGUUAAGCAGUGAACUAAAUCGGCGUAAUUUUACCAAAGAUUAACUGAACUAAAUCAAUUAAUUAUUUAAUGAUUCAAUCCAAAACAAGAAAACCGUAUAAUAUAGCACAGGAGGAGCAGAGCUAAUUAAUGAUUUAAAUUUCAAUCUGAGUAGCAUUAAUAGAAUCCCAAAAAAAUUAAUAUUCUAGCAGAAUCUCAAAAAAAAAUCAUUGAAUCAAUGUUCUGAGCAAAGAUAAAAAAACCGAGAACGAAUUUUUUUAAAAAAAAUGAAGCCAUUGCCUUCGUGAGCUCGAGGAAGACGCACCAAUUGUUGAAUGAGGAAGAAGCGCGGAGCCACAGACGACCGGACGAAGACACGGUGGUGUUUGAGCGCAACGGACGGCGGCACUGAGUGAGUUCCUUGCGGCGGUGGGGGAGUAAACUUGGGUUUGUGUUUUGGGGGUGGGGGGCUGUAUACCUGUAUCUGACUGAGGAGGAUGAGAAGUGGGGAACCUGCGGUGCGCUGCUCGAGGGGAAGGAGAACGGGUUUCUUUUUUCUUUAAAGAAAGCGCAUAACGGCGAGCAGAGAGCAUAUGAAGACAACGGCUAGCACGACGGCAACAUGACGGACGCUCGAGGAGUAAGCUACGUGCCUGCGAUUGGUGAGUUUGAGAGCGAACAGGGGUUGGAGAGGGUUGCGGCGGAAGCUCGACGGACGGCGGCAAUGGCUCACUCCUUGCGGCAGCAGUGGAACUUAGAACCCUAAUUUUUGAACUUUGAAGCUUUGCUUUUCUGAUUUUGAAUGAGUC